UACAGAGGUCCCGAGCGUUGUUCGGAUUCACUGGGCGUAAAGGGUGCGUAGGUGGUGAGGUAAGUCGGAUGUGAAAUCUCCGAGCUCAACUCGGAAAUGGCAUUGGAAACUACCUUGCUCGAGGGUUGGAGGGGGGACUGGAAUGCUUGGUGUAGCAGUGAAAUGCGUAGAUAUCAAGCGGAACACCAGUGGCGAAGGCGAGUCCCUGGACAACUCCUGACACUGAGGCACGAAAGCUAGGGGAGCAAACAGGA
RNAcentral lists this ribosomal RNA (254 nucleotides) under uncultured bacterium. Its description in RNAcentral is "partial 16S ribosomal RNA". It matches the Rfam family "Bacterial small subunit ribosomal RNA", at positions 524 to 777 of the family's 1533-position model. The record is from RNAcentral.